CCUCUGUGAAGCCCCUGCUUUCAGGGGUUAGUUCUAGAGUGGCCCAGCCCUGGGGCCUUCCCCUCUGUCAGGGGAAGUGACAUGGUGGCCACUGACGAGACUGUCUGUAUGUUCAGGUUGUGAAGGAGCUCCUGACCCAGGGAGCUGACCCCAACCUGCCCCUGACCAAAGGCUUGGGCAGUGCCCUGUGUGUUGCCUGUGACCUGACCUAUGAGCACCAGAGGAGCAUGGACAGCAAGCUGGCCCUGAUUGACCGACUCAUCAGUCACGGGGCCGACAUCCUGAAGCCC
This 290-nucleotide small RNA is filed under the name Pongo abelii (Sumatran orangutan). RNAcentral describes it as "retained intron". Lineage: Eukaryota; Metazoa; Chordata; Mammalia; Primates; Hominidae. The record is from RNAcentral.